CAGUAUGAUGGAAAGUUGGAGAAGGUGCACCAGAUUGUCCAGAAUACGAAGCAGCAAAAGAUCUGCCUGACCCAUCUUGUA
This is a small nucleolar RNA of Arabis alpina (gray rockcress), 81 nucleotides long. The record is from Rfam. NCBI's taxonomy places the organism in Eukaryota, Viridiplantae, Streptophyta, Magnoliopsida, Brassicales, Brassicaceae.